RNAcentral lists this ribosomal RNA (378 nucleotides) under uncultured bacterium. RNAcentral's name for it is "bacterial SSU rRNA". It matches the Rfam family "Bacterial small subunit ribosomal RNA", at positions 521 to 898 of the family's 1533-position model. The record is from RNAcentral.
UAAUACAGAGGGUGCGAGCGUUAAUCGGAUUUACUGGGCGUAAAGCGUGCGUAGGCGGCUUUUUAAGUCGGAUGUGAAAUCCCUGAGCUUAACUUAGGAAUUGCAUUCGAUACUGGGAAGCUAGAGUAUGGGAGAGGAUGGUAGAAUUCCAGGUGUAGCGGUGAAAUGCGUAGAGAUCUGGAGGAAUACCGAUGGCGAAGGCAGCCAUCUGGCCUAAUACUGACGCUGAGGUACGAAAGAAUGGGGAGCAAACAGGAUUAGAUACCCUGGUAGUCCAUGCCGUAAACGAUGUCUACUAGCCGUUGGGGCCUUUGAGGCUUUAGUGGCGCAGCUAACGCGAUAAGUAGACCGCCUGGGGAGUACGGUCGCAAGACUAAA